AUUUUUAAUUAUUGUUAAUAUUAAUAAAUAUAAAGUUAUUAAUAAUAAUAAUAAAUAUUGCAAUAAAUAGUAAUUUGAUUUUCAAGAUUCCAAGCAACCAAUAUAUGUGAAUGUUAUGUAUCAAGUUAAUAAUAAGUAUUUAAUAAAAAAUAUUAAUAUUUAAUAAAGAAUUAUUUUACUUUUAAUUUAUUAUUCUUUAUGUUCUUUAAAUUUGUUUCUGUAUUUGAUUCAAAAUUUAGCGCUUCAAUAUGGUCGUCGCUUCAGGUAAUCGCUAUGAUUGGUCGGCUUUUUUAUGGUGCGCGAACCGAGUUAAAAUUGAGCCCGACUUUGGCGAGACCUUGUUACUUGGAUCAUGCCUUAGCUGCUCUUUACUUCAUUCGUUUCUUGGCGUUAGUGACGACCACUUCGUGAAAAUAGUGAAAAUGGAGGACAAGGACGCUAGGACUGCGAGGGAGGAGAAGCAGGAGCUUCUUAGGAACCUUGAACAACAAAUGAAUACUGUCUAUGGAGAAUUGGCAGAAAUGGAUGAUUCGGAAGAAUUAAAUUUUGAAGACGUGUUAAAACACGAAAAAAUGGCGGACAAAGAAAGAAUGGCUGACGACAUGCCAGUCACCGAGGACGGGUCAGACAACGAAGUCGAUUGGUUUUUGGGUUGCAACCCUGUUGAAGCGGAGGAAGAGCUUAAAUUAAGUCCGGAUAUUUUAAAUAGAAUAAAAUUUUGAUUGAAAGAAGGAAUCGGCAAAAAAGAGGAAAAAGAAAAUUUAAUAGCAUCAGUUCCUACAAAGGGGGCGUUAAAUUUAGUAGCACCUCUUCUUAACCAAGAGAUCACAGUCGAUAUUCACCCAAAAGUGUUAUCAAGGGAUGAACACUUUAAGAAUUAUCAAAAUUUGACUGGAGCAUCGUUGGCACUUUGGCAGGAGUUGCAUUGGUGCUCUCUGCCAUUCUUGACGAUGCUGAUAACCCUUUGGAUCGCGAAUUCGUUUUAAAAAAUCUUUCGAAUUCUGUAAAAUUAUUAUCAGAAUUAUUCUCCGUUCUAACACAGUCGCGCAAGACUUUCCUCGUUGGUAGAUAUGAAGAAAGAAUUCAAAGAGUCUUAAAAAAAGUGGAACCAACUACCUUCCUGUUUGGUGACAAUUUAAAAUCCCUGAUAGAGACGUCGAAGGCUAUGGAGAAAGUAUCGAAAGAUUUGAAAUUGAAACCUAAAUCAAAUUUUAAAACUCCUAUCAGGACUUUAAACUGGCGCAGCUCCACCUUUAAGAAGGAGGCGAGUCGGGGGAGCUCCAGUUUAAAUCACAACACCUCCAGGAACCAGCAAAACAACUUUGGCAGUCAAAAGAAUCCGUCGAGGAAAUUCUACUCCCAGUCUCAGCCACAGAGAACCAGGAAGUAGUCGAUAAAGACUCUCACCCACCCGUUAGCAGAGGAACUUACCCUGGUUUCGGGUGUUGUAUCCGGCAGGCGUUCGAGAAAAAGGGCUUGGACAGAGAUACAAUAGAAAUAAUGGUGGCAUCUUUAGCUCCAGGUACGAAUAAGCAAUAUGACUCGGCAUUGAAGUAUUGUUUGAUUUUUUGCAUUCAGGAAAUUCAGGACCCUUUCCAAGCUAAAGAAAAAAUAAUUCUUAAGUGCUUAGCAAAAAGAUACCACGAAGGAGCUGCCUACGGAACUUUGAAUUCUUUAAGAUCGGCAAUUAACUUAAUCAACACCUGCGAGAUCAAGGAUAGCCAGUCAAUCAAUCGUUUUUUCAAAGGAGUUUAUAAACUUCGACCAACUGCCCCGAAGUAUAAUUCAACAUGGGAGGUGGAUGGAGUACUCAAGAAAUUAAAGGCGAAUGGAGUCCUUCCGAAACAUUGAAUUUAGAAACUUUAACGUACAAACUAGUGAUGCUAUUAGCAUUGGGUUCUGCUUUUAGGGUUCAAUCCCUUUCGUUUAUCGAGUUAAAUAACAUAAAAAUUCUUUCAGGUGGAUUAGAAAUUAGAAUUUCUAAAAUAGUUAAGACCUCCAGGCCAGGAGCCAACCAACCGUAUGCUUUUUUUCCUUUCUUCGAUGAUCCAGAUCUCUGUGUGGCAAAAGUUCUUUUAAUUUAUAUCGAUGUCACAAAAAACCUGAGAGGUUUUUCUCUUAAAAGUUCCUCACAAGCAGGUCAGCACACAGACCAUUAGUCGUUGGCUGAAGUUAUGUCUAAAUCAGGACUCCCUACUAAAAAUAAAAUCAGGAAUCGUCAUGAAUGGUCAGAAUUUCUGAACAUUCCUGAACAGUCUCACCACUUCUGACGUUUUCGAACGUUUCUCACCAUUCCUAACCAAAUACUUUCCAAGCUCCUCCCACUUUACUCCCACCAUUUACGAAGCUGUGACCACUUCUGAAAUUCCUGACCAUUUCUGAAAUUUUUGACUAUUUCUGAA
Leptopilina heterotoma is the source of this 2402-nucleotide RNA transcript. RefSeq lists it as uncharacterized. The transcript has 3 exons. The record is from RefSeq and is a predicted model, not a curated record. NCBI's taxonomy places the organism in Eukaryota, Metazoa, Arthropoda, Insecta, Hymenoptera, Figitidae.